AGAGUUUGAUUCUGGCUCAGGACGAACGCUGGCGGCGUGCCUAACACAUGCAAGUCGAACGGAACUCAUUGGAACGAGAUUUCGGUCAAGUGAAGAUGACGUUUAGUGGCGGACGGGUGAGUAACGCGUGAGCAACCUGCCUUUCAGAGGGGGACAACAGUUGGAAACGACUGCUAAUACCGCAUAAUAUGUAUUUAAGGCAUCUUAGAUACAUCAAAGAUUUAUCGCUGAGAGAUGGGCUCGCGUCUGAUUAGCUGGUUGGUGAGGUAACGGCUCACCAAGGCGACGAUCAGUAGCCGGACUGAGAGGUUGAACGGCCACAUUGGGACUGAGAUACGGCCCAG
RNAcentral lists this ribosomal RNA (344 nucleotides) under uncultured bacterium. Its description in RNAcentral is "bacterial SSU rRNA". It matches the Rfam family "Bacterial small subunit ribosomal RNA", at positions 8 to 334 of the family's 1533-position model. The record is from RNAcentral.